This 373-nucleotide ribosomal RNA is filed under the name uncultured organism. RNAcentral describes it as "partial 16S ribosomal RNA". It matches the Rfam family "Bacterial small subunit ribosomal RNA", at positions 527 to 896 of the family's 1533-position model. The record is from RNAcentral.
GUAGGUGGCAAGCGUUGUCCGGGAAUCAUUGGGCGUAAAGCGCGCGCAGGCGGUUCUUUAAGUCUGAUGUGAAAGCCCACGGGCUCAACCGUGGAGGGUCAUUGGAAACUGGAGGACUUGAGUACAGAAGAGGAAAGCGGAAUUCCACGUGUAGCGGUGAAAUGCGUAGAGAUGUGGAGGAACACCAGUGGCGAAGGCGGCUUUCUGGUCUGUAACUGACGCUGAGGCGCGAAAGCGUGGGGAGCAAACAGGAUUAGAUACCCUGGUAGUCCACGCCGUAAACGAUGAGUGCUAAGUGUUAGGGGGUUUCCGCCCCUUAGUGCUGCAGCUAACGCAUUAAGCACUCCGCCUGGGGAGUACGGCCGCAAGGCUG